UACGUAGGGUGCAAGCGUUGUCCGGAAUUAUUGGGCGUAAAGAGCUCGUAGGCGGUCUGUCGCGUCGGCUGUGAAAUCCCGAGGCUCAACCUCGGGUCUGCAGUCGAUACGGGCAAACUAGAGUAUUGCAGGGGAGACUGGAAUUCCUGGUGUAGCGGUGAAAUGCGCAGAUAUCAGGAGGAACACCGGUGGCGAAGGCGAGUCUCUGGGCAAUAACUGACGCUGAGGAGCGAAAGCGUGGGGAGCGAACAGG
RNAcentral lists this ribosomal RNA (253 nucleotides) under uncultured bacterium. RNAcentral describes it as "partial 16S ribosomal RNA". It matches the Rfam family "Bacterial small subunit ribosomal RNA", at positions 524 to 776 of the family's 1533-position model. The record is from RNAcentral.